RNAcentral lists this ribosomal RNA (253 nucleotides) under uncultured bacterium. Its description in RNAcentral is "partial 16S ribosomal RNA". It matches the Rfam family "Bacterial small subunit ribosomal RNA", at positions 524 to 776 of the family's 1533-position model. The record is from RNAcentral.
UACGAGAGGCCCAAACGUUAUUCGGAUUUACUGGGCUUAAAGAGUUCGUAGGCGGUCCGUCAAGUGAGGUGUGAAAGCCCUCGGCUCAACCGAGGAAUUGCGCUUCAAACUGUCGGUCUCGAGGGAGAUAGAGGUGAGCGGAACUGAUGGCGGAGCGGUGAAAUGCGUUGAUAUCAUCAGGAACACCAGAGGCGAAGGCGGCUCACUGGGUCUCUUCUGACGCUGAGGAACGAAAGUGUGGGGAUCAAACAGG